UGGGUGUGUGUUGGGAUGUGAUAAGUACCU
This 30-nucleotide non-coding RNA is filed under the name Mus musculus (house mouse). Lineage: Eukaryota; Metazoa; Chordata; Mammalia; Rodentia; Muridae. The record is from RNAcentral.